GAGAAGGAUAGGAAGAAGAAAGUAGAGAACAAGAUCGAAAAGUGUCUAAAUCGUCGAAGAGAACGCAUCGAUGAUGGGAUAUAUUAUGGGCUGCACGUGUUUCAAAGGUACCACCCUCAUGCGACUCUUUCAAGGUACGUGUCAUACGAGUCUCUUGGAAUAUCGCAUGGCAUCCAUUUUCUUUUCUUAAAGCGUGGACUAAUGGAAGUAGUGUGGAAAUAGUUUGAUUGAUGUUGGAGACCGUGCAGCCUGCGAUGGAAAAGUUGUCCAUCUGUCAAUUAUAGUAUAGUAUAAAUCCUUUAAGGCAGUUGUUUACUUGAGAAUAAAAUUAUCGUGAGUUAUUCUUGAAAGUAUUUCUUGUUAGUGGAUACUGCGUUUGAGUAUAACUAUAUGAGAGCGUGAUUCAACUAUCCGGAAGCGAUUGCGUUGUAACAUGCUCUCAAAUGGAAACAAAGGAAUACUACUAUCGGAGAACUCUUAAAAGAUUCUCGAAGAAAUAAGAAUCUGUUUCGUAUUUUAAGAGUAGCUAUCAGAGAAUAGUAGCACAAAACUGUUUGCAGGAAAAGAAUGGAGGAAAUACGAUACCUUCUAAUUAACCAGUUGAAUGCGUUAGUCGUUAAUACAUGUCAGUCCGAAACUUUAUUUCGGUGCGGUUGAUGGAUAUACUCGUCGUGUAAAAUAAAAAAUUACCAUUUACUACAAAAAUUCCAAUUUCAGUAAGAAAUAAUAAAAAUGUUAUUUAGUGGUAUGUUCCCUUUAUAUUACCAAUAAAAUGUAUUUUAUAAAAAAAAAGUUUGAUUAUUCUCUUUGGUAUAUCGGUUAUUCUCAGUACAAUGUAUUGCUUUUCACAAACUGAAUUAAUUAUUUUCCCCCAAUGCAUUGAAUAUUCCCCGAAUUGUUUUAUGUACUUUACAGUGUAUAUUGGGUAUUUUCCAAUAACAAUUAAAAUAAUAUAAAUGAAAUGCACCAACUAUGAAGGCUUUUAAUAAUUUCUGAUUUGUUGCAAGAAGGUGAUAUUCAUAAGAUUCAAAAAAGUUUUGCUUGGAUUUUUACCUAUUUCCUCAGUUAUUAUCAAAAUAAAGUAGAAGGUAAAGUGGUACAAAAAUUAGCUAAAAAAAUUAGCUAAAAAAUUAUCUAAUUAUUUAUGAAUUUUAUUAUUUUUUGGCAAUUGUUAAGUUUUUUUACCCUGCAUUCGAAGUGUAUAUUCAUCAUUCCUUGAUUUUAAUUAUGUACGUAAGGGAUUUUUACAACUAAAUUCCGCAGUUAACUGGUUAAUAAUAAUAUAUGAAGUAAAUUCAAUAUUGAACUGAUAAAUGAAAAUAUUAUCUCACUCAAACCAUGCAUUGACAAUUAUUUCAAAACAAUUUUUUAAUUGUUGAAAUGGAAUGCAUUAUUUUAUAGAAAUCUGUGCAUUGAUGAUUUUUUAAUUAUAGCAAAAAAAAGAAUUACGUCACAUUAUAUUUUAAGGAUAAGGAAAUACUUGCCGAUGAUAUAGACUGUGCAUGUUCAAGUUUGUCAACAUUCACUGGUGAUUUUUCAGUUGCUUCCAGUUAGUCGUAGAUUAAUGAGAAUAGAUAAUAUCAGGCUGUUUCCAAAUCGAAUAACAUAGAACACAAAUACAUGUGGCUUCUAUGCAAUCCAUUUCGUACUACCCUAUAUGACAGCUAUUUAGUCAUUCGGUGCAUGUGUACCAGAGUAGAAGAGCAACUUCAGAGCUACAUACACAUUGUUAAUUAGUUGCCGGCGACCUUAGAUUUAAUGGAUUAUAUAAAUAUGUAUCUACUCAGUCGUGAUGAGUAUGAAAACUCAAGUGAUGAACGGGCAACUUGUUUGGUUGCCAAAUUUAAUGAUUAUAUUUAAUCGCCUGGUUUUUUGCUCGUUCGUCGAUCUGAUCGACCAUUUAGCCUUAAGUGAUCAAAUUAUUUAAUCACCUAUCAUAAAAGUUGUAAGUACGCAGCUAGGGUGACGUUUUUUAUCCUAAAACAAACAGUAGAAUAGAUGGACGUAGACAGGCAUAGACGAAUCUUCAAUGGGCAUUGUUCUGAGAGUUCUAUCUAAUAGUAAAUUCUCAUGUUAGAGGCUAUCUGAGAGUAAAAAUUCUCGAAAUUACUCUCAAAUGGAUACAAAAUUUAAAAGUACUCUCAAAAGCAACUAUUGUAAGAAACUCUUCAAUGAACGGUUGCUUUCGUUAAGAUGCCGAUUAUCUCAUAAACGAUGCAUAGUAGCAAUCUUUUACUACAUAUGAUUUUGAUUGCUAAUAUUAGAUACUUAGUAUAUAAAUGUGUAACAAAAUUAUAGAUAUCCAUUUAAAAAGACUAUAUAAACUUUCAUAACUCAAGAAGAUCACGAGUAAAAAAAAAUGUUUACAUGCUCUUUGUAGUUGACUCAAAGCCGUGUAAAUUUUCCGUAAUAAACUUCUAACUUCAAUCAAUCGCAAAAAAUUUGUUCGGGCAUAUAUGGAUUAUAUAUAGAGAGAAAUAAAGAAAAAACAUGUAAAAGAAAAACAAAAACAUUAAAUAGCGUGUUAAUAAUUGAUUCAUGUUUAUUUUAUUAAUAUCUCAAAUGAUUUUGUAGUUGCAUAACGAAAUAACGAAAUAUUUUCGACCCCAUGUGGUCAGAUAAUAAAUGUUUGUCUUGACUUUCCUAAUCACCCCUCACAUAUGAUAGUUUAUUGAUUUUUGAAACAGUAUAUAUAUAUUUAUUUAUUUAUUUUUAUUUUUAGUUAUAAUGUUCUUUUUCUAUCUUUUUUUUUAUUUUAUUGCUAUAUUUGUCUCUUUUCCUUUAAAUGAAGAAAUCGAAAACGAGAUGGGAACGCUUCUGAGUUUCAUUUUAAUUGAAAUGGAACAUCGAGUGAUUCAGUAUUUUUUUUUUUUUUUCCUAACGUAACCAUCAACUCAAGUUUUUUCUGGAAAAAUCAGAUCUCUAAAGAGAUUCAUUUUUAUAAUCCUUAUAUCGAACAUCAAAUAACAUUUUAUAAAUUUUUAGGUUUCUCCGUGAAAUUUAUUGGUUAGACCAGAAAAAUGUUAACAUUUUAAUCAAUGGUUCGAAAUUCAUUUGUUUGAUAUCUCCCAUUUUAAUCUCUCCAGUGAAAUAAUUCAUUAUGAAGCGUUACUUGCUAAUGAAAAUUCUAACAUUAUAUAUUACUUGGAAUUCAAAACAAAAAUAUCUAAUUAUCGAAGUAUCAUUGUAGAAUUGAAUUGGAAAGAGCAAUUACACUGUAAUAAUAUUUCGAGUCAGAUAGAAUAUGUAUGAAGAAACGUUACAAUCUCGUGCUCGGAGACGGUACAGACAGUAACUGCUGCUGUUACUUCUACUAUUCAGUAGCUUUAUAUUAAUCUUUGGCUGCUAGAUUAUAGAAUCAGAUCGGUGGUAUCUACGUAUUAAUGGAAUUAACCCAUUAUAACGCCAUAUAACUUUGAAGUUAUACACUUAUAUAUAUAUAUAUAUUGCAAAAUUAAUAGCUAAUUGUAAAUAGAGAUGGCACUUAGAAUAGUAUAGUUUAAUAUAAUAUAACUGCAGCUAUAUUAUUGUAAGUUGUAUAGUAUAUCUAUAACUCUACUAACUAUACUAUUAUAAGAUAUGUAGCUAUAAUAUAUAGCUAAAUAUUAUUAUAAAUUUUAUUUAGUGUCAUAUAGUUAUACCAGUAUAAACUGUAUUUACAAUUAGUAGAAGAUAUAUUAGUUAUACUAGUAUUAAAGUUGUUUUACAUUGU
Molecule: long non-coding RNA, 3712 nt
Organism: Vespa velutina
Lineage: Eukaryota; Metazoa; Arthropoda; Insecta; Hymenoptera; Vespidae
Exons: 3
Source: RefSeq, a predicted model, not a curated record